Molecule: long non-coding RNA, 1668 nt
Organism: Carya illinoinensis
Lineage: Eukaryota; Viridiplantae; Streptophyta; Magnoliopsida; Fagales; Juglandaceae
Exons: 2
Source: RefSeq, a predicted model, not a curated record
UUCAAUUUUCUCCCGUCUCUCUCCCUUCUCUUUUUUUUUUAUUUUAAUAUUAAAUUAUUAUUAUAAUUGUAGUAAUCUUUGAAGUUGUCCAAUAAUGAAUAAACUCACUUAGGGGAAAUAAGAUUAAACACAUAUAUUUUUCACACCGAGAAAAAGUCAAGAUUCUACGCUUGGAGCACAAGGCAAAAAGGUUUCGUCGAUUACAAGGAAGAUGGUCCGUUAUUUGUCUUGGAUCUGCCAAAUUUGCUUAAUAUUCUUUGCUCUCGAAAAAGCAGAGAAAAUGUGUGUGAGGUGACAAGAUCCUCGCAUGAAAAACUGGGAUGCGAACACGUGUCUCUUAAAUCCCGGAUGCAUACCCAGCGGUGAUACCGACAGUUUAGAUAAUUUGAGUCCAGACAAAUUGGUUUACAAAAAUAAUUAUAAAAAAAUUAUCGUCUGUCGUAUUGUUGCCCAAAACAAAAUAUAUAUUUCAAAUUAACUGAAAACUUUUAAGUUAAAAGAGAGAUCAGAAUUUUGAUGUGUAGUUAUUGUUGUGUAUUUAUUAUGUAUUUUAUUUUAUUAAUGUGAUUGAUUGUUUUAUUUUUUUUAAUAAAAAAUAAUUAAUUUAAUUAAUCAACUACUUAAAAAGUGACUAUACCUAAUAAAUUAUGAGGUUUUUCAAAAUUUUUAAAUGGCAGGAAACCUUGAAUUUACAAGGAUCUGUUUGGCACGACAGGUGUACAUAAUAAUUUGGCUUUGGCCAUUAUGCCUCAAAUUGCUGGCAUAACAUGUUAGUCAAGUUUUUAUUUUUCGUAGUCAAAUUGAUAUUUGAUUCUAUGAUUAUUUAAUAAUUAUUUCUUAAGUGAUAAGAAAAUUAUUAAAAUUUUGAAACUAUAGAUGUUAUGUUCGGUGAGAUGGAAACCUACACGUGUCAGUAUGUUAUGAUAGCUUCCGGUCAUCACAGGCCCAACAGUUGAAUAGAUACGGGGAUAGACGGUGCAUAGCGGGCCAGGUUUACGGUUACGAUAGAAUUGAAUUAUUAGCUGACAGUUGAUGGUAUUAAAAGCCGUGGUUUCGAUUGAGUAUGGCCGACAUUAAAAGACAUGGACCAAAGCCAGUGGGGCCCUAUGUUGUCCAUUUUUGUAGAAAAACCCCUUUGUCUUUGAGGAUAUAUUUGGUAUUGUUCAGAGCCUUUACUGAGGUGCAGUGAGGUGGUUGCAGAAUUGUUUUUCCCAACUUUGGACCACACAAGCGGACAAGUGGAAGACGCGUGUGAUUGCCUCUUUAUUCACGUUAUCUCUGUUUAUUAUUAUUUCUUUCUCGCAUCUGUUCAAUUAGUGUACAGGAAGAGCUGUCUUUUGUUUGUUUUGUCAGGCUACAAAAUUAGAGAACUGACGAUAGCAAAUAAUUAGAGGGUGUAUGAAAAAAUAAAAAAUAAAAAUACAUCGAAUUAAAGUAGAAAUAUAAGAGUAGAAGGUGAGGUGCACAUAAAAUUUAAAAAGAAAAGGAUAAUGAAAUAUUAGUUCGGGUCCAGGGAAGGAGGGGACUGUUAUAGGCGGGUCGGUUGUAUAGGUCUCUUGGUUGUGGCUGUAAACACGAUUACUUGUCCAAUAAUUGUCGGAUUAUUUUAUUGGGUGUUUGCUACUCUUUCAGGAUUUUGCCCCCUCAAAGUUAGCAGAAGUCUAAUUU